ACAUUUUCCUGGCAGGGGCAAUACCGUGAUCACAAAAGUGGUUUUCCCAGGGUGAGGCUUAUCCAGUGCACUCAGGAUGUGCUUAUCCCUGCAAUUUCCCCAAAUGUGGGAAACUUGACUACAUAAUUUGUGGUAGUGGGGGACUGUAUUCAUGCUUUCUACUG
Molecule: small nuclear RNA, 164 nt
Organism: Fukomys damarensis (Damara mole-rat)
Lineage: Eukaryota; Metazoa; Chordata; Mammalia; Rodentia; Bathyergidae
Gene: U1
Rfam family: U1 spliceosomal RNA
About the family: U1 is a small nuclear RNA (snRNA) component of the spliceosome (involved in pre-mRNA splicing). Its 5' end forms complementary base pairs with the 5' splice junction, thus defining the 5' donor site of an intron.
Source: Ensembl